RNAcentral lists this long non-coding RNA (1359 nucleotides) under Bemisia tabaci. RNAcentral's name for it is "lncRNA ENSSSA1NGG004987". The record is from RNAcentral. Lineage: Eukaryota; Metazoa; Arthropoda; Insecta; Hemiptera; Aleyrodidae.
CAAUAUUUGAUGUCCGAUUCUCAUUUUAUAAUGUAUUUGUAGACCUAUAACACCAAGCUCAUAAGUAGGGAGAGUGGGGUUAUUUGGGUCAUGGGGUUCAAUGGGUCACAUGGGAUAUUUUCCUGCCUAAUAGGGAUUUUUCGGUUUUGCCGGCGUAGGAAGUUGGCAUUACUUGUAUUCUACCAAAAAAAUGUGCAGUGACGUCAUCGGCAUUCUUUGUUUUUGUUUUGGAGCCACAUUAACCGCGGACCCGUCGAAAUCGGCUAAAAACGGCGAUUUUUCUUCCGAGAAGUUUGUGCACCUUGAGAUCAUGAUCAGAAAGUUCACGAGGAAGAGGGAACAACCUAGGAUUCCUCCAACGCGGAUUCUAUAACGCCGUGCUGGUCUCUUUUGAUUUUAAUUUCUUUUUUUUGGUACUUUUUUAGCGUUUAAUAAUGGUGUUGUGAGACACCGAAACGUACUGUGUAUAAGUAUUUAGGUAUAAGUAUUUAGGUAUUUUGGUAAGUAUUUAGGUAGUAUUUAGGCAUUUAGGUAUAAGUAUUUAGGUAUUUAGGUAUUUAGGUAUUUUUGUUUCCACUAUUUCCUUCUUUUAGUUUUUAAGUUUCGACCAAAAGUAAAAAUGUUCCAUACAAAAAUAUGUUUUGCGCCGAGGCAUUUAUUUAUAUACCUAUUUAGCAUGUUACCUAUGAAAAUAAAUUGGUGCGCAUUUACAUUAUCUACUUCUCCUUUAUAAGGUUACCCAUGUUCCUGUGGCUCUACAUUAAUUUGUGUUCAUUAAAUGUAUUUCUUUAAUUUUGGUUCUUAUAUUUUAGCAAAGACAACAGCCUCUUAAAUAUUUAUUUUGGUGGUCAUGAAAUGGAAGGUUGAAAAAAAAAUAAUGUCUUCUAGAAAAUAUUCAAAACUUCCCAAAAUUAUUAUUUAAGCCUCUAAAAGAAAUUUCAUAAUUUUUGCCAUAACAGAGGGUUCUUAAUGCCUUGUUAUUCUAAAUUUCUAAAUAUUCUUAAGCUCACCUUUUUUUCAACACUCCUCUCAUACCAACCAAAAGUUAUCAUUAACCAUUUAUCCAUUUAUUUAUCCAUUCACUAGCUUACCUACAGGUGACAUCAUUCAUUAAACAAAUUGGUACCUACCAAAAAUAAAAAAAAAAUAAAUUGAUCAUCGAUUCAUUGUAUACCAUACAUCGAAGGAUAAAAAGAGGAACCCCCCCCCCCUUCAAUAUUUCUCAUUUAUUUACUUUUUUUUAAAGUGCAGCCUUGAUAAAUUUAAAGAUAUAUCUCAUAGAUGUUUGACAUUAUCUAUUUUAAGUUGAUUAAUAUGUGUCCAGAAUGAUUUACAGUAGGUGACUCAGUUAACCCCAGG